This 605-nucleotide ribosomal RNA is filed under the name uncultured bacterium. RNAcentral's name for it is "bacterial SSU rRNA". It matches the Rfam family "Bacterial small subunit ribosomal RNA", at positions 8 to 608 of the family's 1533-position model. The record is from RNAcentral.
AGAGUUUGAUCCUGGCUCAGAUUGAACGCUGGCGGCAUGCUUUACACAUGCAAGUCGAACGGCAGCACGGGGGCAACCCUGGUGGCGAGUGGCGAACGGGUGAGUAACACAUCGGAACAUAUCUUAAAGUGGGGAAUAACGCAUCGAAAGGUGUGCUAAUACUCCAUAUACUCUAGCGAGGAAAGCGGGGGAUCGAAAGACCUCGUGUUUUAAGAGUGGCCGAUGUCUGAUUAGCUAGUUGGUAAGGUAAAAGCUUACCAAGGCGACGAUCAGUAGCUGGUCUGAGAGGACGAUCAGCCACACUGGAACUGAGACACGGCCCAGACUCCUACGGGAGGCAGCAGUGGGGAAUUUUGGACAAUGGGCGAAAGCCUGAUCCAGCCAUGCCGCGUGAGUGAAGAAGGCCUUCGGGUUGUAAAGCUCUUUCGGUCGAGAAGAAAUGUCUAUGACUAAUACUUAUAGAAAAUGACGGUAUCGACAUAAGAAGCACCGGCUAACUACGUGCCAGCAGCCGCGGUAAUACGUAGGGUGCAAGCGUUAAUCGGAAUUAUUGGGCGUAAAGGGUGCGCAGGCUGUGUUGUAAGUCAGAUGUGAAAUCCCCGGGC